GACGAACGCUGGCGGCGUGCCUAAUACAUGCAAGUCGAACGCUGAAGGAGGAGCUUGCUUCUCUGGAUGAGUUGCGAACGGGUGAGUAACGCGUAGGUAACCUGCCUGGUAGCGGGGGAUAACUAUUGGAAACGAUAGCUAAUACCGCAUAAUAGUAGAUGUUGCAUGACAUUUGCUUAAAAGGUGCAAUUGCAUCACUACCAGAUGGACCUGCGUUGUAUUAGCUAGUUGGUGGGGUAACGGCUCACCAAGGCGACGAUACAUAGCCGACCUGAGAGGGUGAUCGGCCACACUGGGACUGAGACACGGCCCAGACUCCUACGGGAGGCAGCAGUAGGGCAUCUUCGGCAAUGGACGGAAGUCUGACCGAGCAACGCCGCGUGAGGGAAGAAGGUUUUCGGAUCGUAAAGCUCUGUUGUAAGAGAAGAACGAGUGUGAGAGUGGAAAGUUCACACUGUGACGGUAUCUUACCAGAAAGGGACGGCUAACUACGUG
This 495-nucleotide ribosomal RNA is filed under the name uncultured bacterium. RNAcentral describes it as "partial 16S ribosomal RNA". It matches the Rfam family "Bacterial small subunit ribosomal RNA", at positions 28 to 507 of the family's 1533-position model. The record is from RNAcentral.